GACGAACGCUGGCGGCGUGCUUAACACAUGCAAGUCGAACGAUGAAGAAGAGAAACGCGAACUUCGGUUCAAAUUUCACUUCGGAUUAGUGGCAGACGGGUGAGUAACGCGUGAGCAACCUACCUCUUACAAAGGGAUAGCCUCGGGAAACCGUGAUUAAUACCAUAUGACACAUUCAUAAGGCAUCUUAAGAAUGUUAAAGCUACGGCGGUAAGAGAUGGGCUCGCGUCCCAUUAUCUAGUUGGUGAGGUAACGGCCCACCAAGGCGACGAUGGGUAACCGGCCUGAGAGGGUGAACGGUCACAUUGGAACUGAGACACGGUCCAAACUCCUACGGGAGGCAGCAGUGGGGAAUAUUGCACAAUGGAGGGAACUCUGAUGCAGCGACGCCGCGUGAGCGAUGAAGGAAUUCGUUUCGUAAAGCUCUGUUCUAUGGGAAGAAAAGGACUGUACCAUAGGAGAAAGCCCCGGCUAAAUACGUG
Molecule: ribosomal RNA, 482 nt
Filed under: uncultured bacterium
Lineage: Bacteria
Description: partial 16S ribosomal RNA
Rfam family: Bacterial small subunit ribosomal RNA
Source: RNAcentral